CUCACUCGCGUUUCUCGCGUGAGCGAGCGAGCGAACGCCCGCACCUCCCCUCGCGCCGCCGCCUCUCCCCGCGCCGUCUCCUCUCCUCGCGUCGUCUCCGGCCAACAUCGCUCCGUCGCCGUCCAAGAUCGCUCCGUCGCCGCCCAAGAUCGCCGCCCAAGAUCGCUCCGUCGCCGCCCAAGAUCGCCACCCAAGAUCGCUGCCCAAGAUCACCGGCCAAGAUCGCUGCGUAGCCGCCCAAGAUCGCUCUGUCGUCCAUCUUCUCCAGCCGAGCUGGAGUUUUAUCCUCAGCACGGUUUUGCGUCUGGACAGAUGCAAUUUUUUCCCUGUUUGGGUCUGAGCAAAGAAAUUGAGAUUUUUGUUCUGUUUUGGUAAAAAACAUGAAUAUGUGGGGACAGUAAGAUAGAUUUGCUAUGAAAUGUGAGGAUGUUGAGGCCGCUGGCACAGUAUGGUACAAGACCAUGAUCUCAGGCAGUAACUACACUGAAUUUGAUGUCUUCUCAAAGUGUGUCGGUGUGUCGGAGUAGUUAGCUAAAUUAUGUUUGCACUUCAUGUUCAAUGUUGAGGGUUGUGGCAAAAUUAUUGUAGUCUAGUUUAGACCGAUACGACUUGCCUUAUAUCAUUCCUGAACCCCCGACACUUUGCAAGAACCGACUGAAGCAACCGUUUUGGCUCCUGGAACUAAUUAUAUCUUAUAUCCGAUCAUGUUUGGCA
Molecule: long non-coding RNA, 714 nt
Organism: Lolium perenne
Lineage: Eukaryota; Viridiplantae; Streptophyta; Magnoliopsida; Poales; Poaceae
Source: RefSeq, a predicted model, not a curated record